CAAGUCGAGGGGAAACGAUAUUGGAAGCUUGCUUCCGAUAGGCGUCGACCGGCGCACGGGUGAGUAACGCGUAUCCAACCUGCCCACCACUUGGGGAUAACCUUGCGAAAGUAAGACUAAUACCCAAUGACGUCUCUAGAAGACAUCUGAAAGAGAUUAAAGAUUUAUCGGUGAAGGAUGGGCAUGCGUGAUAUUAGGUAGUUGGCGGGGUAACGGCCCACCAAGGCGACGAUCAGUAGGGGUUCUGAGAGGAAGGUCCCCCACAUUGGAACUGAGACACGGUCCAAACUCC
Molecule: ribosomal RNA, 292 nt
Filed under: uncultured Prevotella sp.
Lineage: Bacteria; Pseudomonadati; Bacteroidota; Bacteroidia; Bacteroidales; Prevotellaceae
Description: partial 16S ribosomal RNA
Rfam family: Bacterial small subunit ribosomal RNA
Source: RNAcentral